AUUGAACGCUGGCGGCAUGCUUUACACAUGCAAGUCGAACGGCAGCGCGGGCUUCGGCCUGGCGGCGAGUGGCGAACGGGUGAGUAAUGCAUCGGAAUGUGCCCAGUAGUGGGGGAUAGCACGGCGAAAGCCGGAUUAAUACCGCAUACGACCUGCGGGUGAAAGCGGGGGACCGAAAGGCCUCGCGCUAUUGGAGCGGCCGAUGUCGGAUUAGCUAGUUGGUGGGGUAAAGGCUUACCAAGGCGACGAUCCGUAGCUGGUCUGAGAGGACGACCGGCCACAUUGGGACUGGGACAGGGCCAAGACUCCUACGGGAGGCAGCAGUGGGGAAUUUUGGACAAUGGGGGCAACCCUGAUCCAGCCAUGCCGCGUGCGGGAAGAAGGCCUUCGGGUUGUAAGCCGCUUUUGUUCGGGGAGAAAUCCUCUGGGCUAAUACCCCGGGGGGAUGACGGUACCGGAAGAAUAAGCACCGGCUAACUACGUG
Molecule: ribosomal RNA, 484 nt
Filed under: uncultured bacterium
Lineage: Bacteria
Description: partial 16S ribosomal RNA
Rfam family: Bacterial small subunit ribosomal RNA
Source: RNAcentral